RNAcentral lists this ribosomal RNA (233 nucleotides) under Didymocarpus citrinus. RNAcentral's name for it is "internal transcribed spacer 1". Lineage: Eukaryota; Viridiplantae; Streptophyta; Magnoliopsida; Lamiales; Gesneriaceae. The record is from RNAcentral.
UCGUAACCUGCAAAGCAGACCCGUGAACACGUUUAAACAUAUUCAUGCGAUCGCGAUUUGGGGAUGCCUUUGUGUCCAAUAUCACGACCUCGACCCCAAGUGGUGCAAGUCUCUUGGGUGUACUACUAACCUCCCGGCGCGGCAAGCGCCAAGGUAAACCAUAUUGAACACCUCUCAUUCUUGAUGCUGUUCGUGGUACUCGGGAAAUGAUGAGGAGCGUCAACUGAAUAGUU